GUUCAGACAUUUGGUGUAUGUGCUUGGCUGAGGAGCCAAUGGUGCGAAGCUACCAUCUGUGGGAUUAUGACUGAACGCCUCUAAGUCAGAAUCCCCCCUAAACGUAACGAUACCCUAGCGCCAUGGCUCCGUGGUUGGCCUGGGAUAGCCGGCCCUUCCGGGGGUCGGUGUGGAGUGCCAUUCGUGACUGGUUCGGAGAGCGGACAGAUGAGCUUCCGCCUCUCACCUUUUACGCACCGCAUGUUCGUGUUGAACCUGGUGCUAAAUCAUAUGUAGACGACCUGAUUCUGGGUCAGGGUUUCGUACGUGGCAGAGCAGCUACCCUCGUUGCGAUCUAUUGAGAGUCAGCCCUCGAUCCAAUCUUUUGUC
RNAcentral lists this ribosomal RNA (369 nucleotides) under Acipenser fulvescens (lake sturgeon). RNAcentral describes it as "eukaryotic LSU rRNA". It matches the Rfam family "Eukaryotic large subunit ribosomal RNA", at positions 3050 to 3401 of the family's 3401-position model. Lineage: Eukaryota; Metazoa; Chordata; Actinopteri; Acipenseriformes; Acipenseridae. The record is from RNAcentral.